GAGCGGCGCACGGGUGCGGAACACGUGUGCAACCUGCCUUUAUCUGGGGGAUAGCCUUUCGAAAGGAAGAUUAAUACCCCAUAAUAUAUUGAGUGGCAUCACUUGAUAUUGAAAACUCCGGUGGAUAGAGAUGGGCACGCGCAAGAUUAGAUAGUUGGUGAGGUAACGGCUCACCAAGUCAAUGAUCUUUAGGGGGCCUGAGAGGGUGAUCCCCCACACUGGUACUGAGACACGGACCAGACUCCUACGGGAGGCAGCAGUGAGGAAUAUUGGACAAUGGGUGAGAGCCUGAUCCAGCCAUCCCGCGUGAAGGACGACUGCCCUAUGGGUUGUAAACUUCUUUUAUACUGGGAUAAACCUACCCUUCGUGAGGGUAGCUGAAGGUACAGUAUGAAUAAGCACCGGCUAACUCCGUGCCAGCAGCCGCGGUAAUACGGAGGGUGCAAGCGUUAUCCGGAUUUAUUGGGUUUAAAGGGUCCGUAGGCGGACUCGUAAGUCAGUGGUGAAAUCUCAUAGCUUAACUAUGAAACUGCCAUUGAUACUGCGGGUCUUGAGUAAAGUAGAAGUGGCUGGAAUAAGUAGUGUAGCGGUGAAAUGCAUAGAUAUUACUUAGAACACCAAUUGCGAAGGCAGGUCACUAUGUUUUAACUGACGCUGAUGGACGAAAGCGUGGGGAGCGAACAGGAUUAGAUACCCUGGUAGUCCACGCCGUAAACGAUGCUAACUCGUUUUUGGGUUUUCGGAUUCAGAGACUAAGCGAAAGUGAUAAGUUAGCCACCUGGGGAGUACGUUCGCAAGAAUGAAACUCAAAGGAAUUGACGGGGGCCCGCACAAGCGGUGGAUUAUGUGGUUUAAUUCGAUGAUACGCGAGGAACCUUACCAAGGCUUAAAUGGGAAUUGACAGGUUUAGAAAUAGAUCCUUCUUCGGACAAUUUUCAAGGUGCUGCAUGGUUGUCGUCAGCUCGUGCCGUGAGGUGUUAGGUUAAGUCCUGCAACGAGCGCAACCCCUGUCACUAGUUGCCAUCAUUCAGUUGGGGACUCUAGUGAGACUGCCUACGCAAGUAGAGAGGAAGGUGGGGAUGACGUCAAAUCAUCACGGCCCUUACGCCUUGGGCCACACACGUAAUACAAUGGCCGGUACAGAGGGCAGCUACUAUGCGAAUAGAUGCGAAUCUCGAAAGCCGGUCUCA
Molecule: ribosomal RNA, 1190 nt
Filed under: Chryseobacterium aquaticum
Lineage: Bacteria; Pseudomonadati; Bacteroidota; Flavobacteriia; Flavobacteriales; Weeksellaceae
Description: bacterial SSU rRNA
Rfam family: Bacterial small subunit ribosomal RNA
Source: RNAcentral